This 320-nucleotide ribosomal RNA is filed under the name uncultured bacterium. Its description in RNAcentral is "bacterial SSU rRNA". It matches the Rfam family "Bacterial small subunit ribosomal RNA", at positions 28 to 359 of the family's 1533-position model. The record is from RNAcentral.
GACAAACGCUGGCGGCGUACUUAAGACAUGCAAGUCGAACGGGUGUCCUGCUUUCGGGUGGGAUGCUAGUGGCGGAUGGGUGAGUAACGCGUAGGAACCUGUCGUUAAGUGGGGGAUACCGCUGGGAAACCGGCGCUAAUACCGCAUGUGGUCGAGCGAUCGAAGAAAGCAGCAAUGCGCUUGAUGAGGGGCCUGCGUCCGAUUAGCUAGUUGGUGGGGUAAAGGCCUACCAAGGCGCGAUCGGUAGCUGGUCUGAGGGGAUGGUCAGCCACACUGGGACUGAGACACGGCCCAGACUCCUACGGGAGGCAGCAGUUAGG